RNAcentral lists this ribosomal RNA (430 nucleotides) under uncultured fungus. RNAcentral's name for it is "eukaryotic LSU rRNA". It matches the Rfam family "Eukaryotic large subunit ribosomal RNA", at positions 1 to 422 of the family's 3401-position model. Lineage: Eukaryota; Fungi. The record is from RNAcentral.
AACCUCAAAUCAGGUAGGAUUACCCGCUGAACUUAAGCAUAUCAAUAAGCGGAGGAAAAGAAACUAACAAGGAUUCCCCUAGUAACUGCGAGUGAAGCGGGAAGAGCUCAAAUUUAAAAUCUGGCAGUUCUCUGAGCUGUCCGAGUUGUAAUCUAGAGAAGUGCUUUCCGUGCUGGACCGUGUACAAGUCUCUUGGAAUGGAGCGUCAUAGAGGGUGAGAAUCCCGUCUUUGACACGGACUACCAGUGCUUUUGUGAUGCACUCUCGAAGAGUCGAGUUGUUUGGGAAUGCAGCUCAAAAUGGGUGGUAAAUUCCAUCUAAAGCUAAAUAUAGGCGAGAGACCGAUAGCGAACAAGUACCGUGAGGGAAAGAUGAAAAGAACUUUGAAAAGAGAGUUAAACAGUACGUGAAAUUGUUGAAAGGGAAACGC